GCCCUGAGGGGAGCCGCCCACAGCCAUCGUGCCAGGGCUCUCCCCGCCCCGAGGGGAGCUGCUAACUGCAGUAACACCACGCCGAACAGAGCUGCCUGGUGUCACCCUUGGAGCUGAGACAACAUCAGGUAAGACGCCAAAUGUGACAGGCUGCAGGUGAGAUCUUGGACCAGAAGUGAUGAGACACUGCGACAGGAGGAAGGAUCUGAAGAAGAGGAUUUGACAGUCUCCAGGACUAGCCUAAUGGCUUUCCUAGGGGAUUUGCAUUAUCCUCUAUCUUCCCCCAAAAUGAGUUACAUUAUUUGGAGCCUCAACAGGUUCCACUAGAAACAAAUGGAACUGGCAAAACAGCAAGAAAAAUGAAAACCUAAAAGUGUUGUCUAGGAGUGGUUUUUUACAUUACAUACACUUUUCUGAGUAGAAGCACACUUUAAAGUUUAUCUUUGUGGGACCACAAAGAAGCAGCUCUGUCAAAACCUCAAGUAUUUUUGUGAGAUGGUAAAUUCAAGAUGAUGCUGCCAAAAUCAGUAAAAGGAAUUUCAGUUUUAUGAUUUAUGCUUCUCACUUACGACACAAUUCUAUCCCACAGCAGCAGACAAGACUUAAAUGUACAUGUAUAUUAGCACCCAAGUAGUCUAUUCAGGAUGUUGUUUACCUUGCAU
Long non-coding RNA from Empidonax traillii (willow flycatcher), 662 nucleotides. RefSeq lists it as uncharacterized. The record is from RefSeq and is a predicted model, not a curated record. Lineage: Eukaryota; Metazoa; Chordata; Aves; Passeriformes; Tyrannidae. The transcript has 4 exons.